AUUGAACGCUGGCGGCAUGCUUUACACAUGCAAGUCGGACGGCAGCACAGAGAAGCUUGCUUCUUGGGUGGCGAGUGGCGAACGGGUGAGUAAUAUAUCGGAACGUACCGAGUAAUGGGGGAUAACUAAUCGAAAGAUUAGCUAAUACCGCAUAUUCUCUGAGGAGGAAAGCAGGGGACCUUCGGGCCUUGCGUUAUUCGAGCGGCCGAUAUCUGAUUAGCUAGUUGGUGGGGUAAAGACCUACCAAGGCGACGAUCAGUAGCGGGUCUGAGAGGAUGAUCCGCCACACUGGGACUGAGACACGGCCCAGACUCCUACGGGAGGCAGCAGUGGGGAAUUUUGGACAAUGGGCGCAAGCCUGAUCCAGCCAUGCCGCGUGUCUGAAGAAGGCCUUCGGGUUGUAAAGGACUUUUGUCAGGGAAGAAAAGGCUGUUGCUAAUACCGACAGCUGAUGACGGUACCUGAAGAAUAAGCACCGGCUAACUACGUGCCAGCAGCCGCGGUAAUACGUAGGGUGCGAGCGUUAAUCGGAAUUACUGGGCGUAAAGCGAGCGCAGACGGUUACUUAAGCAGGAUGUGAAAUCCCCGGGCUCAACCUGGGAACUGCGUUCUGAACUGGGUGACUAGAGUGUGUCAGAGGGAGGUAGAAUUCCACGUGUAGCAGUGAAAUGCGUAGAGAUGUGGAGGAAUACCGAUGGCGAAGGCAGCCUCCUGGGAUAACACUGACGUUCAUGCUCGAAAGCGUGGGUAGCAAACAGG
Molecule: ribosomal RNA, 759 nt
Filed under: Neisseria subflava
Lineage: Bacteria; Pseudomonadati; Pseudomonadota; Betaproteobacteria; Neisseriales; Neisseriaceae
Description: bacterial SSU rRNA
Rfam family: Bacterial small subunit ribosomal RNA
Source: RNAcentral